This 72-nucleotide transfer RNA is filed under the name Camelus bactrianus (Bactrian camel). It matches the Rfam family "tRNA". From Rfam's summary of the family: Transfer RNA (tRNA) molecules are approximately 80 nucleotides in length. Their secondary structure includes four short double-helical elements and three loops (D, anti-codon, and T loops). Further hydrogen bonds mediate the characteristic L-shaped molecular structure. tRNAs have two regions of fundamental functional importance: the anti-codon, which is responsible for specific mRNA codon recognition, and the 3' end, to which the tRNAs corresponding amino acid is attached (by aminoacyl-tRNA synthetases). tRNAs cope with the degeneracy of the genetic code in two manners: having more than one tRNA (with a specific anti-codon) for a particular amino acid; and 'wobble' base-pairing, i.e. permitting non-standard base-pairing at the 3rd anti-codon position. The record is from Rfam by way of RNAcentral. RNAcentral also lists the same sequence under 2 other names. Lineage: Eukaryota; Metazoa; Chordata; Mammalia; Artiodactyla; Camelidae.
AGGCAUAUAGCUCAGUGGUAGAGUGCAUGCUUAGCAUGCACGAGGUCCUGGGUUCAAUUCCCAGUACCUCCA